UGGACAGGCUGAAGAAUGAUGAAGCCCGCAUCACCCAGCUGAUCAGGGGCUUUUCCAGCACCUGGAAGCAGUCUGUGGAAGCUCUCAGCCAGGACGUCAUGAGGUCCUUCACCAACUUUAAGAACGGCACCAGCAUCAUACAGGGGGCGCUGACUCAGCUUAUCCAGUACUACCAUGGUUUCCACAAGGUCCUCUCGCAGCCCACUUUCCGCAGCCUGGCCGUUCGCUCAGAGCUCAUCAAUCUUCACCACCUCAUGGUCGAGGUCAAGAAGCACAAGCCCAACUUCUGAAUAGCAUUUUACUGGGGUGAAGCGGGUUAAAUAAGAGAUUAAUGGAAAAGUGAAUAUGUUUAUCUUAGUACCCGUGGGAGAACCAACAAUCUACAGCUGUAAUCCGCAAAUGGACUUUACCCUUGUGGAUCUCCAUUUCUCACCUAUGCAUCGUUGUUAUGUUCUGUGUAGUAUGAGAUCAGGAGGAAAACUGGAAUUUUU
This is a non-coding RNA of Paramormyrops kingsleyae, 491 nucleotides long. The record is from RefSeq and is a predicted model, not a curated record. Lineage: Eukaryota; Metazoa; Chordata; Actinopteri; Osteoglossiformes; Mormyridae.